Long non-coding RNA from Protobothrops mucrosquamatus (brown spotted pit viper), 270 nucleotides. RefSeq lists it as uncharacterized. Lineage: Eukaryota; Metazoa; Chordata; Lepidosauria; Squamata; Viperidae. The record is from RefSeq and is a predicted model, not a curated record. The transcript is spliced from 3 exons.
AAUUUAUUUUGUUUUCUAGUUGGCUGUGAAAAACAUACAAAUUGUAGUUCCUGCAUUUCUAUUGAAUCAACUCAGCUGAAUUGCACAUGGCUUCAAUGCAAUGGAAAACUGUCUCGGUGCACAAAUUCCACAAGUAUAGAUCCUGGUUGUACUGCUGUUUCUGAAAAUGGGACAUGUGCAGAUUUUCCGAUCAGUACUACCACAGCUAGUAAUGUCACCACAGCUAGUAAUGCCACCACAGUCACCAGCCCUACAGGUAACAAAAAGAAA